CACGCACGUGGUGUAGAGCGGCUGCGGAAUGCACGUGUAUGACUGUAUGGAGCGCGCGUCUGUGUGCGUGUGCGUGUGCGUGUGAGUGUGAGCGUGCGUGCAUGUGUGUCUGGGGGCUGGCUCAGCUCUCGGGUUUCACCCACUGUCCUAAAGCAAACACCCCGAGGCAGCCACAGCCGGAAGCCAGUGUUUGGACUGCUUGGGCGCCUCUUCCUUCUGGAUAGCCACGAGGGGCCAGGAGGGGCCUUCCUGCCCACCUGUGCCAGGCACUUCCUCCUCCCUGUCAUCCCAGCCUCCCUCCUUCCCGGGUCCCCAGAAGGAAGGGAAAUGCCAUGGGACAGGUAGACAUCCCGGGCCCUGUGCACCCCAGGGAGCACAACUGGGCAGUCCCCUGGAGCCCAGCAACACCACCUUCAGCAGUGUUCUCCAAGCAGCUCUGUCAUGACAAGGAAUGUCCGCAUGUCCGUGUCACAACAGAGGGGCCGGGGAGGGACAGGGUCAGCUCAUCACUGAGCAGUGGCCCGGCCACCCAGCCAAGCACCUGGCCCCGCACCUGUGAUAACCAGGUUUCCCAGAAGCACAGGCAGGUCACAAAGCUAAGGUCUGGCACGGUGUGCGUGCUGUCCUCACACUUUAUAGAGAUAGAAAAUGCAGGGCAGGGAUGUAGUUCGGUGGUUCUGUCGCCUACCUCGCAAGUGCAAGGUCCUGAGUUCGAUCCCCGGUACCAAAAAAAAAGAAAACGUGUGUAAGUGCCAGACAGAGACGGGGCUGGGGACCUUCUGCACCGUGAGUGUGCAAUAGCGGAAUAAAAGCCAGGAACAAAUGAACACAGGUGAGUGAAUGUGGGGUCCCGACCGGGGCAGGUCCCUUCAUGUCCUCGCAGUUUUGGUCAGGUCGCAGAGGUCAGAAAAGCUGGAAGUGGGCAAACUGAGGCCCACGGUAUGUGACAUUCUGAGCAGUCUGCAUUCCAUGAGGCCGCUUCCCCAGGGCCCCUCUUCCUUCAGAAUUGCCUGAUCCACUCCCAACAUUGCCCCUGGGAGCAGCACCCACCCAUGUCCCCUCGCACCCACUUUUCAAGGCCCUCCUAGAGCCACCCACAUGGCCUGCCCUGGGACAUCGAGGCCCAGGGUGGUGUCACUCCUGCUCCCCAUCCAGGUCCAUGCUGCCCCCAAUAGCUUUGCAGUACCCAGGUCUCUCCUCCUCUCUGCAAAGGCACGAGACAGACGGCCGGUGGGGCUCCACAGUCCCGGCACGGGGUCCUCCUUUCUCAGGCCCUGGUGAUGGGGCGACGGAGGAUGGCGUGUGACGCCCCAGUCAGGCCCCGCCCACCUCCCAGAAGGCCCGGUGCACGCUGGGGCCUGUGCUGCCGACAUGGGCGUCACCCUGUGCCUUGGAGUGACUUCACGGGGGCCAACUGGAGGACGAGUCAGAGGCAGAUUAAUUAAUCAAAGCCGGAACACAUCUGGUCUUGAUGAAUCCUGUGCCGAGGGUAACUGUUCCGGCUCUGGGUGCCCUUGUGUAAGGGAGCAGAAGUUAGGGAUGAGGCCUCGGGCAGAACCUGCUCCUCACUCCGGGACCCAGCAUCUGGACCCAUCUCCUACAGUCAUGCGUGCCCAACAUGGACUGGGCAGGGAUCAGGAGGCCCUGAGCACAGGCAGCUGUGUCCAGGUGGAAUGGGCACUGGCCCCCCGGUGGUGGAGGAUCUUUGUGUCGCAGGAGCAACAGCAGGUGGUGCUUUUGGGUCCUCUGACCCCCAGCCCCAGGGUCUUGCUAAGCUGCCCAGGGAGGACUUGAACUUUCGAUCCUCCUGCCUCAGCCUCCCAAGCAGCUGGGAUCACUGGAGUAUUCACAAGUUUGAGCAAUUAUUCUGUACUAGGAGCAGCAUCAAGAGCUUUUCACAUCGUUGCUUCUUUGAGGAUUGAAAGAGAUCUCUCCAAGGUCUCAUUUCACCGAUGAGAAAAUCCAGACCAAAAGAGGGCAAAAACUGGCAAAGGUCCAUCAGCCCAGAAGUGGAGAAGACAGAGUCUGGAAGCUGGGGAAAAGGAGGGGGCUCUGGCCAGAGGUGUGGCUGGGCCCAUGCGGGUAAACAGGGCCCAGGCCAGGGGAAGUGGCCAGGCCUGAACCAUCCUGCCUGCCUCCCAGCACCACCGGGGGCUGGGCCUUGGCCAUCUGCUGUGCCCCUCACCCUGCAGCCUAAACGUGGGUCCAGUGGGUGGCCAGGCGGGGCGAGCGGUCAGCUGGCCCAGGAGGUGUGGGCACACACAGCUCACCUGCGGCCUUGGCCGUGGUGUGGGGCUGAGUCACAGAGCAAACACUGGGCCAGAGACCCAGCAGUGUCUGUCCCAUGCCCACCGGGGCCCUGCUCUGCGGCCGCUGCGCUGACUUCCUCUCAGUGCUGCAGCAGCGGGUGUCUCUGGCAGUGGCCAAGGGCACAGUGCUAGCUGGACUCGGUGCCCAGCUUCCAGGAAGCUGGCCUGGCUGCAGAUGUCCUGGCUGGAGGUGGCUCCCAGUGCCCCAGUCGGCCGGGCAGGCAGCAGGACACAGAGCACACAGCCCGGAGGCCUGGGUGCCCCGGCCUGGGACCAGGGCGAGCGGUCUCCGUGCUUCCGUCUCCUGUCUGUAAGAUGGGCUUGGCCAUAGGUGCCCUUCUGCCCACUACAGGUGGAUCCUAAAGCACAGAUGCUCAUGCCAGGAGGGCAAUUUAGCAAGUACAGAUGUAUCUGUAGCCAGGUGUAGUAGUGCACGGCUGUAAUCCCAGCACUCGGAGGGCUGAGGCAGGAGGAUCGCUGUGAGUUUGAGGCCAGCCUGGUCUACACAGUGA
Non-coding RNA from Heterocephalus glaber (naked mole-rat), 2821 nucleotides. The record is from RefSeq and is a predicted model, not a curated record. Lineage: Eukaryota; Metazoa; Chordata; Mammalia; Rodentia; Bathyergidae.